UUGCAACUUUGGUAACCAAGAUUAAGUUACCCAUGGAGAGUCAAAGGGCUCAAGACAUGCCACUCCGCUCCACAGUGCUCACCGCCACGGUCGCCUUGGUUAGCUGCUCUGGACAGCAAUUACUUGCGAUGAAGUUCCUUGUGCUCCUCACCAUGAGUGUGGCCGUGACCCAGGCAAACAGCGCGCUUCCCGUUGCUGAGGAGAAUAGCUGUUCAGGCCUCAAGAACGAUCGCUCUCUUUUAUCCAGUCUACUGACGGUCGCAGGCUACAAUGACACUUGCGUGGCUGCCGCCCUGGACUCCUGUAGGACGGGGCAAGAGGUCAACCGCUACGCGUCCCUCGUGGAGGAUGCAAGGGAAGUGGUGCAGCAGGUCAGUGUUGCUGUAAACAAAUGGGAAUCUCGGCCACGUCACUGCAAGGACUUACUGGACUCCGGGGACAGUGGGAGCGGCCUGCGCCAGGUAUACCCUUUCCCUGGGCAACCUCACCACCGCGUCACCGUGUUUUGCGACAACACCGUCGACGGCGGGGGUUGGACCGUCUUCCAGCGGCGCACCAGUGAUACCGUCCGCCAAGAUUUCUUCCGCACUUGGAUCGAGUAUCAGUUGGGGUUCGGCGACCUGGAGGGUGAAUUCUGGCUGGGCCUUGACCUUCUGCACCAGCUGACCUCCACCACCUUGCAGGAGCUACGGAUUGACCUGCACGAUUACGAGGGAGAACAUCGGUGGGCUAAGUACGGAUUCUUCCACGUGGGCACACCAGCGACCAAGUUCCGCCUCAGUGUUGGAAGGUACAGCGGUGACGCAGGGGACGGCCUCUCUGGGAAAAGCGGCCAAGCUUUCAGCACCCAUGACGCUGACAACGACGCAUGGGAUGAUAACUGUGCCAAAAAUGUAGAGGAGGCAAUUCUUAUGGCUUUUCCAAAUGCGAUGAAUCCUUACUGAAACAGUAUGGGUUAAAGAGACGCUGUGUAAGCAUCCCAUCCUGCUGAGCCGCUAUACCUACACGUCCCUACUACACCGCCGCUGUACAUCACUUGCAUUCAAUACCGGGGUGCUUAUUGGUAUACUGCUUGCCAUAGUUCUAACCUGAACGGUUACCAAUACGUGGGGAACCACACCACCUACGCUGAUGGCAUCAACUGGUAUAACUGGAGAGGCCACCACUACU
This 1170-nucleotide unclassified non-coding RNA is filed under the name Portunus trituberculatus (swimming crab). RNAcentral describes it as "microfibril-associated glycoprotein 4-like, transcript variant X1". Lineage: Eukaryota; Metazoa; Arthropoda; Malacostraca; Decapoda; Portunidae. The record is from RNAcentral.